Molecule: non-coding RNA, 45 nt
Organism: Schistosoma mansoni
Lineage: Eukaryota; Metazoa; Platyhelminthes; Trematoda; Strigeidida; Schistosomatidae
Source: Rfam
AUCUAGCCGACAAGUCCCAAAUAGAAUGAAACGCGCGUCCUUGAU